CAAAGUAAUUUAUAUAAUUUAAUUUUGUAUAAUUUUCUAUUUUUCUAUUAUUUUAAUAAUAAAAAUAAAAUGGAAAUAGAAGAAUCAAUAAAAGAAAAUGCUGUAGAGGUUAUUAGAGAAGGAUUGAGAGAAUUGAUUCAUAUAGAAAGAAAGGAAAAUCGUAUGAAAACGGUAAAUAAAAGUCGUGUGGCUUUAGGAAAUAUUAUAACGAAUUCAUCUUUUACAACAGAGUUUGUAAUUGAAAAAGCAAAAGCUCUUAAAAAAAAAGCAUUAUCUAUUGAAGAGUAUAAAGAGCUUCAAAAUGCUCUUAUUCAGAGUGAAGAAAAUGUUAAUUCGUUCUUAAAAGUAGAUAACAUCUUAUUUGCACUGGUACGUGAUUUCUCUGGUAAUGACCCUAUUUUACAAUUAUGUGCUAUUAGUUGUUCUUGUAAUAUAGCACUUGGAAAUGCUAAAGCAUGUACUUCAUUAACCAAAAGCAUUGGACCAUAUCUUAUUACAAAAUUAGAUACUUUAAAUUAUUCUUUAUUGGAAAUAUGUAUAUGGACAAUAGGAAAUUUAAUUUCAGGGAGUAAUAAGGCAUUUGAAAUUCUUCAUGCACAAGAUUGUUUGAAAUAUAUUGUAUCCUUGAUGUACAAUUGUGAUAAUGUAAUUGUGUCUUCAGUAGCCUAUACUGCUAUGCAUUAUGUACAUAUUGGUUUUCAAUAUAUCUUAAAAGAAGAAAUUAUUGAACUUACCAAUGCUACUAUAAAGAGAAACUUUUCAUUUGAAGAUUCAUAUUUUAUUUGGUUACUUGCAUUAUUAUCUUCAGAAAUAUCGUGUCACAUAUAUUUAUAUUCUGUAAUCCCUUUAAUAAUUGAUUAUUUAUAUGAAAAUAGCAUAAAUGAUAUUACAUCAAUAAUAGAGAUCACAGCAUGUAUAAGAAUAUUAGCUAAUAUUGUACAAGAAACAUCUGGACGAUUGGCAAAGUAUCUAUUGGAAAAUUCUAAAUAUUCACUAUCAAAUUUAAAAAUAUUAUUAAAUAAAUUACUUUUAUGUCAGUAUGUACAUAUUAGGAAAGAAACAUUAUGGCUAAUAGGUAAUCUUUAUAAUCACAAUUCUGUUGAUAUAAAAAAGAUUAUACAAGAAGUUAUUUCUGAAUCAGUUUUGAAGCAAACAGUCUUAUAUACAAUUCAACAGUAUCAAUAAAUGCAAACUCUAUUAGUUAAAUGAUUAUGUGAAUAAAUUGUCGUCCUAACUCUAUAGAAGUAUUUUUCUCUGGUACAUCCUCAAUACAAGGUAUUUUUAUUAUAUUAAAGUAUAUGCGACCCAUAAUAUGUGCUGUCGGAUGUGUCGUGGCUUUUAAACAACGAUACAGCGCUUCAUCACAUACACAGUGUGACCUAGAAAGUGACCUAUCAAUUUGAACUUCUUGGCCCAAAUCAUGGUAAUUCUCGGCUAUAUCCCCGGCACCACACCAUUUUGUGCCUAUGAAAUCAUCAAAAUUUAUGUCAAAAUAUAGAUAAAUUACAAAUAUAACAAGAAAGUCUGCAAUAAUCACGAACCUGGUAAGAUACCUGAGAGAAGAGACAAGACAUUACUCAUUCCAUGAUUAUCUUUAUUCACACUGUUUGAUAUCGUUGUAGACAACCUUUCGUGCUGCAUCUUGUCCAAUAAUUCGCAUUGUUGUAUAAGUUUUGUCAUUUGUGAGAAAGAUACCAGCUGAGGAAUUACUAUGGAUGACAGAUUCCUCAAAACUUCAUUGGCUUCAUUUUUCUCACUAUAAAUACCGAUGCAUUUUUUUUAUUUAUGCAUAAAUAUUGAUUUCAAUCUAAUCCAAAGUACUUACUAUACUUCGAUCAAGUUGCAAUUGUGCAAUUCAUUAUUAAUGCCAAGAUCAACUACUGCCACGGUCUGAUCAUGAUAAUAAACAGCUCUGAUCUCAUUUCUAUCAA
RNA transcript from Apis cerana (Asiatic honeybee), 1931 nucleotides. RefSeq lists it as uncharacterized. The record is from RefSeq and is a predicted model, not a curated record. Lineage: Eukaryota; Metazoa; Arthropoda; Insecta; Hymenoptera; Apidae.